GGGCCCGUAGCUCAGCGGUCAGAGCCACCGGCUCAUAACCGGGUGGUCCCAGGUUCGAAUCCUGGCGGGCCCACCA
RNAcentral lists this transfer RNA (76 nucleotides) under Acidobacteriota bacterium. RNAcentral describes it as "Acidobacteria bacterium tRNA-Ile". It matches the Rfam family "tRNA". From Rfam's summary of the family: Transfer RNA (tRNA) molecules are approximately 80 nucleotides in length. Their secondary structure includes four short double-helical elements and three loops (D, anti-codon, and T loops). Lineage: Bacteria; Pseudomonadati; Acidobacteriota. The record is from RNAcentral. RNAcentral also lists the same sequence under 1 other name.